RNAcentral lists this ribosomal RNA (404 nucleotides) under uncultured Hyphomicrobiales bacterium. RNAcentral describes it as "bacterial SSU rRNA". It matches the Rfam family "Bacterial small subunit ribosomal RNA", at positions 355 to 776 of the family's 1533-position model. Lineage: Bacteria; Pseudomonadati; Pseudomonadota; Alphaproteobacteria; Hyphomicrobiales. The record is from RNAcentral.
UGGGGAAUAUUGGACAAUGGGCGAAAGCCUGAUCCAGCCAUGCCGCGUGAGUGAUGAAGGCCUUAGGGUUGUAAAGCUCUUUUGUCCGGGAAGAUAAUGACUGUACCGGAAGAAUAAGCCCCGGCUAACUUCGUGCCAGCAGCCGCGGUAAUACGAAGGGGGCUAGCGUUGCUCGGAAUUACUGGGCGUAAAGGGCGCGUAGGCGGCCGUUCAAGUCGGAGGUGAAAUCCCAAGGCUCAACCUUGGAAUUGCCUUCGAUACUGGAUGGCUAGAGACCGGAAGAGGUAAGUGGAACUGCGAGUGUAGAGGUGAAAUUCGUAGAUAUUCGCAAGAACACCAGUGGCGAAGGCGGCUUACUGGUCCGGUUCUGACGCUGAGGCGCGAAAGCGUGGGGAGCAAACAGG